GGGCGGUUAACUCAGCGGUUAGAGUUCCGGCCUUACACGCCGGCUGUCAAAGGUUCGAAUCCUUUACCGCCCACCA
RNAcentral lists this transfer RNA (76 nucleotides) under Deltaproteobacteria bacterium. RNAcentral describes it as "tRNA-Val". It matches the Rfam family "tRNA". From Rfam's summary of the family: Transfer RNA (tRNA) molecules are approximately 80 nucleotides in length. Their secondary structure includes four short double-helical elements and three loops (D, anti-codon, and T loops). The record is from RNAcentral. Lineage: Bacteria; Pseudomonadati; Myxococcota; Myxococcia.